This 77-nucleotide transfer RNA is filed under the name bacterium. RNAcentral's name for it is "tRNA-Met". It matches the Rfam family "tRNA". From Rfam's summary of the family: Transfer RNA (tRNA) molecules are approximately 80 nucleotides in length. Their secondary structure includes four short double-helical elements and three loops (D, anti-codon, and T loops). RNAcentral also lists the same sequence under 4 other names. The record is from RNAcentral.
AGCGGGGUGGAGCAGCCCGGUAGCUCGCAAGGCUCAUAACCUUGAGGUCCCAGGUUCGAAUCCUGGCCCCGCCACCA